This 539-nucleotide ribosomal RNA is filed under the name uncultured bacterium. RNAcentral describes it as "partial 16S ribosomal RNA". It matches the Rfam family "Bacterial small subunit ribosomal RNA", at positions 355 to 883 of the family's 1533-position model. The record is from RNAcentral.
UGGGGAAUAUUGCACAAUGGGCGCAAGCCUGAUGCAGCCAUGCCGCGUGUGUGAAGAAGGCCUUCGGGUUGUAAAGCACUUUCAGCGAGGAGGAAGGUGGUGAACUUAAUACGUUCAUCAAUUGACGUUACUCGCAGAAGAAGCACCGGCUAACUCCGUGCCAGCAGCCGCGGUAAUACGGAGGGUGCAAGCGUUAAUCGGAAUUACUGGGCGUAAAGCGCACGCAGGCGGUUUGUUAAGUCAGAUGUGAAAUCCCCAGGCUCAACCUGGGAACUGCAUUUGAAACUGGCAAGCUAGAGUCUCGUAGAGGGGGGUAGAAUUCCGGGUGUAGCGGUGAAAUGCGUAGAGAUCUGGAGGAAUACCGGUGGCGAAGGCGGCCCCCUGGACGAAGACUGACGCUCAGGUGCGAAAAGCGUGGGGAGCAAAACAGGAUUAGAUACCCUGGUAGUCCACGCUGUAAACGAUGUCGAUUUUGGAGGUUGUGCCCUUGAGGCGUGGCUUCCGGAGCUAACGCGUUAAAUCGGCCGCCUGGGGAGUAC